Molecule: ribosomal RNA, 269 nt
Filed under: Bacillus subtilis
Lineage: Bacteria; Bacillati; Bacillota; Bacilli; Caryophanales; Bacillaceae
Description: partial 23S ribosomal RNA
Rfam family: Bacterial large subunit ribosomal RNA
Source: RNAcentral
UUUGAGAGGAGCUGUCCUUAGUACGAGAGGACCGGGAUGGACGCACCGCUGGUGUACCAGUUGUUCUGCCAAGGGCAUCGCUGGGUAGCUAUGUGCGGACGGGAUAAGUGCUGAAAGCAUCUAAGCAUGAAGCCCCCCUCAAGAUGAGAUUUCCCAUUCCGCAAGGAAGUAAGAUCCCUGAAAGAUGAUCAGGUUGAUAGGUCUGAGGUGGAAGUGUGGCGACACAUGGAGCUGACAGAUACUAAUCGAUCGAGGACUUAACCACAUUU